UCUUCCAUGGAGAAAAAAAUAAAAAAAAACUAACAGGCAUGCAUCUUCCUUUUCAUCCCAAUCUUAAGAAAAAGGUAGAUUUGAACCACGUGGGUAUGUGAAGAUUUCGAUCAUCCCCAUGCUAUUGUAUCUACAACAUGCAAGGCGAAUGGUGUAACAAAAGCUUCUAAGCCCUUGCUGCUUUUUUAAGCAUGACUCUCUUUUUCUGCGCCUGGCUCUUCUUUUGUCGAACAGCAGGUAGCUAUCAGUCCCCAAAAACAACGACAGAAAGCGAUUUUUUUCCGCGUUGUUUUGAGGGUAAUUUACGGCGUGACGGCCACCCCAAAUAGAACAUAAAAAAAAAUUUUUUUUAGAAACUUCGCACCUGUAUUUUUUGGAGAGUGGGAGACAAGAAUCAUUUUUUACCUGUUUUUUUUUAUUUGGUGUCUAUUUUCGUUUUAGGGGGGAAUAAGGGGUUAAAAUAUUUGUUUAAAGUACCUCAGCGUGGUACUUUUCAAACAAAUGUCUGUUGUUCCUAAACUUGAUUUCUCAAUCAUUUUGUAACUCCACCCCUUAGUUAACAUAGACAUUUUGUGGCCAGACAGGAAACCAGAGUUAGUUGAAAGAUCAUUUUUAACAUACUUCAGAAAUUGAGAUAUGAAGUAGAAUACAUAUAGAGGAAAACAUAACGCUUGGAUACGGAGCAUAUUACAAGAAUUUAUUUUCAGAAUGGGAUGAUAUUUAAAAUUUUAAGUUUUUAUCUUGGGAAAACAAAAGAUGUCUGACCACCGUGGUAUAUAGGUAAUAUGAAUCUUAUAAUUUUAAUCUAUAAUCAUGGAAUUAUAAUAUUUUUAAAAACAGGAACAGAAGUUGUGUAGAUUACUUACGAAAGUCCCCAUUCAAUUUUAAUAUUAAUGAACUACCUCUCUUUUUAUAAUAACUCUUCACGUUAUUGCUACAUAAAUAUCAGUCGUUAAUGGGGAAGUAAAACAGCAAAUCAAAUAUUUUUAUCUG
Parasteatoda tepidariorum (common house spider) is the source of this 993-nucleotide non-coding RNA. The record is from RefSeq and is a predicted model, not a curated record. NCBI's taxonomy places the organism in Eukaryota, Metazoa, Arthropoda, Arachnida, Araneae, Theridiidae.